This is a long non-coding RNA of Glycine soja, 1010 nucleotides long. RefSeq lists it as uncharacterized. The record is from RefSeq and is a predicted model, not a curated record. Lineage: Eukaryota; Viridiplantae; Streptophyta; Magnoliopsida; Fabales; Fabaceae. The transcript has 2 exons.
AGCUUCUUAGGUGACCCAUAGUGAACAAAUUUUAUUAACCGUUGGAUUCAUCUGACUUUUAUGGUUGCACUCUACACUCUCCACACUGGAUCUUUCUUCCCGUCCCUUUCUCUCUCAAUCCUCCACCGUCACUGUUUACUCUCUCCUUCUCCCACUUCGCUAUUCUCAUCAGCAUCGUCGUCAACGGCCUUGUUUCCGCGACCACCAUUGUCCUCACCUAUGUCAUCCUUUACGGCAAGGGUGUCUCACUUCCUCGGUGAGAUCGAAACCCUCUCCAGCGGCUAUUGGAUCUCGUCAGUGUUGCAUGUUUACACGGUAACGGCAUUGUCGCUCUACCAAUGAUACGGAGGAGGACCUCCUCGGUGGCUUCUAACGGCACGAAUGAGAACUGAUGACGGCAACAGUGGUAUUGUCGGUGAAGAGGUCUAAACAUGCAUUUGUGCAGUAGAUAACAAGAAGAUGAGCAAGCAAGCGACGAAAGUACUGUAUUUUUUAAUCAAUCAAGCUACUAAUGAAUUCUCCAACUUUUGAGUUUUUUUACAUUUCCAUUUGGUUGUUGUUGUGUUGAUGAUUAGUAAUUUAAAUGUUCUUUCUGUCAUAUUUGUCACUUUUGAUGUUUAUGUUGCAUUUCACUUCUCAAUCUUUGGAAUAACUUCAAUUUGGCAUUUUAGGGGUACAUGUAUUUUAUGAAAGAGACGGUGAUCAACAACGAGGGGUUGUUGAGGAAACAAUGGUGGUAAGGAAAGAAAAAAAAAAUGCCAGCCGUGAGAAAUUGCCUCCGACGACGGCAAAUGGUGGUCGGAAGGUUGCUGGGAGGGAGGAGGAGUACAUCUAGUGUGGGUAGUGUAAAUUGCAACCAUAUAAAUCGGAUGAAUCUAACCGUUGAUAAAAUUGGUUCACCAUGAACCAAUUACAAAGCUUGUCCACCAUAGCCUUGGCCUUAUUUACAUCCUUUUUUUCUUUCUUUCAAAUACAUGUUGUCUGUAACAACAAUAAACAAAAAAAACAAA